CCAAAAGAUAAUCUUUCAACUCGAAAGAUCUUUUCCUUUGUGCUGGCUUUGACCGUAUGUAAUUUUGGGACUUAAACAUGGUAAAGCCUUAUGGUUUGGCCGGUCCCAAAAACAAUAUAUCAUCCUUAUGAAAAACUUACUGAACAACUAAACAAUGAUUUUAAUAA
This 167-nucleotide unclassified non-coding RNA is filed under the name Umbelopsis isabellina. The record is from RNAcentral. Lineage: Eukaryota; Fungi; Mucoromycota; Umbelopsidomycetes; Umbelopsidales; Umbelopsidaceae.